Long non-coding RNA from Sapajus apella (tufted capuchin), 1172 nucleotides. RefSeq lists it as uncharacterized. The transcript has 2 exons. The record is from RefSeq and is a predicted model, not a curated record. NCBI's taxonomy places the organism in Eukaryota, Metazoa, Chordata, Mammalia, Primates, Cebidae.
UCUCCUUUCUUUUUUGAUCCCAUUCUUCCUUGCUUUCAACCUACGCUGGCUUUCUCAGCCAUGUCUGAACCUAUUCAUCCCUUCACCUACAUGGUAAAAUGUAAAAAGUCUUAUAUUUUACUUAAAAGGAAGAUAUUGCUGACUUGAGUACAACUUUUUUGAAGCAAUAUAGAUGCUUUGCAUUCACCCUUAGGUUGUAUGAUAACAGGAAAACCAAAUGAAGCCAAAAAUCCAGAGCAUGUGUUAAAAAUCAGAUUUUAUCAUUAACAGAUAUCAUCAUAACUAAAAUCCAGACAACUAAAGGUUUCCACCAUAUGGCUAGAGCAAAGCUUAUUUUAUAUCUGCUACUGUGCAGAACCACAAAAAGCACUGAGAAUAAAGAAAUGAAAAAAACAGUUUCUAAACUCGAGAAAGUCAGAAUCCCAAGGGGUAAUCAAAUGUGCCAAUGUUAAUCUUAAUUUAAAUAGAGCUCCUCAUGAGUAACCAGUUCUGCCUGGGGAUGCAGAAGAGGUAGGGAAGAAUUUUGAAGUGGAAUUAGAAAGUGACUAUGUAUUCCUCAGGUAUAAAAAGACUGGAAGGGCAUUUCAAGUAAACAGAUUAGCCAGCAAAAAGAUAAGGAGACAGAAAAGUUCCUGCAAUAGUAGGUGUGCCAGAAGCUCUAGCACUGCAGAAGAAUUUGAAAGUAAAGGUGGAAAGUGCAUUUGGCCUGAAUGAUAAAUUAACAGUUACCUGGAUAGUUCCUUUUGCAUGUGGCUGAGUUUUACAGAUUCAAAGACCCCUACAUUUAAAUGAUAGUGUCUCAAACUAUUAAUAGCUCCUUGUUCAGCUAUAGUGGCAAUUGGCUUUGUUCAUUAAAAUGGAAUCUUUUUGUUUUCUUUGCCAAGAAAGGAGUGAUUUCACUUUUCUCUCUUUUCCCUUUCAGUUCUUUCCAUUUAUGUUUUGCAGACACAGAGACACACCCGUUAAGCCAGGUUUCAAUGAAGAAAACUAGCCAAUCCAGUUACAACAUCGUCAUUGGUGGUGUUAAUAUGGAGACAGUUGCCUUCUUGUUACUCAAUAGGAUACACAUAAUUGAGCCCUUCUGAAUCUGGAAUCACAGACGUUGAGACAUACUUUUGCAGAGCAGUUUAUGAUGACAUUUAUGAGCUAUGCCUCACAGUCAUCUCUCAAGG